AUAUUAUCAGAUUAUUACAUGGCAUUUUUCAUAUCGCAUGUAUUAUCAGCCCUAGGUUCAAUAUCAGCCCAAGAGCCGCAUGGCUCGAGGGCUGAUAUUGACCGAGGGCUGAUAAUACAUGCGAUAUGAAAAAUGGCAUGUUAUGAUCUUUUUAUCAUAUGCUUCAACAGUAGAGAAAAAUAACAGAUUAUAUAUUGAUCCUUUUACGUGGUUCCCGAAGAUUAAAGAGUAAAAAUGUUCACGGCCGUCGGACCCAAAAUUGAUACAUUCAAUAUGAAAUCUUUCUAUCAUAUGCCUCAACAGAGAGAGAGAAAAAACAUUUUGAUAUGGACGAAUCGACCAAAAAAUAAUACAACAAUAUACAUAAUGAUCAUUGUUUGGAAAAGUCAACUUUCUAAAGAAACUUUC
This 408-nucleotide long non-coding RNA is filed under the name Mytilus galloprovincialis (Mediterranean mussel). The record is from RNAcentral. Lineage: Eukaryota; Metazoa; Mollusca; Bivalvia; Mytilida; Mytilidae.